RNAcentral lists this ribosomal RNA (176 nucleotides) under uncultured Actinomycetes bacterium. Its description in RNAcentral is "uncultured actinobacterium partial 16S ribosomal RNA". It matches the Rfam family "Bacterial small subunit ribosomal RNA", at positions 335 to 524 of the family's 1533-position model. The record is from RNAcentral. Lineage: Bacteria; Bacillati; Actinomycetota; Actinomycetes.
ACUCCUACGGGAGGCAGCAGUGGGGAAUAUUGCACAAUGGGCGCAAGCUGAUGCAGCAACGCCGCGUGAGGGAUGACGGCCUUCGGGUUGUAAACCUCUUUCAGCAGGGACGAAGCGAAAGUGACGGUACCUGCAGAAGAAGCACCGGCCAACUACGUGCCAGCAGCCGCGGUAAU